This 1266-nucleotide unclassified non-coding RNA is filed under the name Monomorium pharaonis (pharaoh ant). Its description in RNAcentral is "uncharacterized LOC105837217, transcript variant X1". The record is from RNAcentral. Lineage: Eukaryota; Metazoa; Arthropoda; Insecta; Hymenoptera; Formicidae.
UCUCGCCCGUCCGGGGAAUCGGGCUGCCGUUCGCGAACUCGCUUCGUUCCGCUUUCGUUCCGGUCUUUAUCAUCCACCCAAUAGGAUACAAACGCGGAUUGUUUCGUCGACGAGAAAUGAACGCCACGACGCUGGCCGCGAUCUAGAAAUUCGUCUCUCGGGAGUGAACCUUACGGGACACGUGUGCACGAGACGUGGGGUAUCAUAUGCCAGUUGGGGAUUAUGUACCGGUCUCGCUGGCGUUACUGAUGGGUAAAAGUGUCCUCGUCGAGGGAGGAGUGACGAUAUACAAAAAUCGAGAACGCAUUACAACGAUAAGAAGGACUCCAUAUGAGACAACCCUACAAUCUCGUCAACCCUUAAUGUAUCCAUCGUGAGCCUUUGGCAGCUGGCUCUACACGCGAAAACGCGGUCCUGCGGGAUCGACUCGAGAUCGACGUAGUGUGAACGAGGGAACAAACGGAUAAAGAUAAGGCUAAGGACGAUGGGGGUGCCGGACGUGGAACAGGCUAAGAAGCGACUUCAGGACAUACUGAGGCGGGCACAGAAACUGGAGAUACCGACGCAAGAGGUGAUCUCGACGAGGACGGCGCGUAAAUUGCUCGCCAGAACGCGCAAUGUCCUGGCAUGGACUAUCUGGAUUGGAGUAUUCGUUGUCCUCCUCAGUGGCGUUGUCUACGCUCGUUGGCCUACACGACAGGAUGUGGAAACCGUUAGGACCGUGCUGAGGCGAACACUUCGGGCAAAGACAAGACAUCAAAGGAAUAUCUGACAUUACGAACGGCGAAGGAUCCACGAUAAGUUUUUGUUAAUUGACCAUGACGCAUUCUUAACAGAAGACGAGCAUUCGAAAGAGAGAAAAGGUAACUUUCUGACGAACGCAUAUUGGAAAGUAAGGCUAAAACCGACGAGAGAGGGAAAAUUCGGAAAGUUUCGACUUCUCUGCAACAGCUUACAGUCAUCAAUUUACGCUCACGCCAUUUUGGCGUUAUCGUUAAAUAUUCGAGAGAAAAGUUUUCCGAUGCUUUCCAUAAAUCAAUUAUGGCGCUUAACUUCGCUUUGUGACACUCAGUAAUUAUACAAGCGUUAUUUAUCAGUAAUAAAUCAUUGAUUCCGUUGACAAAAGUAGCUGAUGUCUUGUGCUAAUAUUUACUUAGAAGAGGUAGUACAAUUAAAUUAAAAAAUGUAUUCACAUUCAAACUGGCACAUGUUCUCUAUUGAUUUAUCUAUUUCCUUCCACAUAAUAAAAUGUUAAAUUAAACAAAA